AUCUAGGAAAAUUGCAUAAUGACACAUUAGUAACAUAAUAACAACAGCUAAAAGAUGCCACAAAAUCCUAAGGUGAAAUCAAAGCUUCAGAAGCAAAUCUUUGCAAGUUAAAAUCUCAGUAUCAAAGAAAGUAAAUUCUUAAAUCAAAACUUCUCCUUUAUGAGUUACAAACAUUGACCUCUCUUGCUACUAUCUCCUUAUUCCUCAGUUUCAUUUGUAAAAGUUCUGAGUUUCAAUCCCAAUUUGAGCCUGGAUUGCAAUGAACUAGGACUUCUAUGGGUGUCACUGUUCUUUCCAGAUAGCUAGCUUUGCAUGAACUAAAUGUCAAAUUUCGAAUGGCUGGAUCUCUACUCUAAAGGCUCCAAAUAAACAUCAAAACAUAUGCAAUAUCAAAGCACUGAAAACCCGCAAUAGCCAACUUUAAAAAAUAGGUACAUCUCAACCCUUAGAAUUUCUAUCCAGUAAAGUUCUAUUUCAAGAACAUCAUAAUGUUACCAAAGACUAUUACAAAAACUCAAAGGUUACUAAGUGCUAAUAGAAAAUCUUCUGUGCUUAGCUUCACUGGAGUGUCAACACUUAAUACUAGUUAUGUAGAAUUACAACUUUAUAUUUAUUACAGUAAAUACACAGGCAUGUAAGGAAAAAUUCUAGAACAGUUUUUCUUAGUAUGGUAAAAAUUUUAAUCACCAUUUCACUUUUGAAGAUCAUUCUCUCUUGCACAGAGCACUAAAUUCAGUACGAGAUCUGCUAUGAUGUUUCUCUCUUAUAUGUAACCAAGAAAUUUCCCAUGCUGUCACUAAGAAUCAGGUAUUCCUCCUGCUUUCUGCUAAAGGACCUAAAAUUAUAUUGGAAAUAUCAUCAAAGGAUAAAUCAUACUGGAUCUUCUUUUGGUUACAUUUAUAGCUUCACUGCUUCUCAAUAUUGGACCAGUUUCUUAAAACUAUUUUCCAGGAAUAGACAAACCCUACCUGCAAACCAAGAAGACAGAUUUUGGCCUAUGUUUAGCAAUAUUCUCUUGCCAUGAUGGAGAGUAUCCUCUCAUGAACAACGAUUAUAAAUCUGUCAAUCACCCUAUGUAACUUCUCAAAUGAAGCAGCUAAAGCCAUAGCUGCCCAAUAAAAAUCUUUAAACUCUUUAGCCACAGUAGUAAUGGAUAACAGAAUACCCCUAGACUAAGUAUUGGUGGAACAGGAAAGAGUUUCUAUGGUAGCUAACAUAUCAUGUUGUGUUUACAUCAAUACAUCUUCUGAAGUUGAAACACACAUGAAAUAAGAAGACAACAAGCUAAUUAAUCACAACAAAUUCCCAGGGAAGAACCAGGUGCCAACUAGUUCUCAGAUAUAUUUUUCUGAAUCCCACAUAGAAUUCAAUGUAUGCCCCCAAGCCAUAUGAAAAUUAAGACUUUACCUAUUACUAAUGCUCAUUUUUGGACAUUUGGUUAUCAAAUGCUGCCUCUGAUGUUAAACCUUUAAACUGUUAAAAGAGAAACCAAUGUAUUAAUAAUGCUAAAUGUUAAUAUUGUACCAGAUAUUAGAGAAUAUCUUCAACUUAAUGCAAAAUGAUUUCAUCCUUUAGGCCCAAACCUGCACCCCUAGUCAGUAGGAAAAAGCUAGAAUGGAUGUUGCCCCUAAUCCCUCAUGACUGAAGAAUGCACAUAGAACAGGGGGGAUUUAAACCAUGACCCAAAGAUUUAGUUAAAGAAACCAAUGGCUAAAAGAAGUUAUUGAGUUUGCAGGUUGGCAGAUUAAAAAAAGAAGAAGAGGAAACAACAACAACAACAACAAAACAACAACAACAACAACAAAAACUUGCUGAAACACUGAAACUCCCUUUGCUUAUUAACUAAAGAACACUGACUGAAAUUGGUUGGACUCAAUAUGGCCAACUAGAGUCUGCACAGAAAGAGCUUGCUGACAUUGCAACCUGAAUUUUCAGUGCAUGUUUCAUAACAGCUCCCUCCAACUUUGUACAUGUGAUCCAUGCGAUAGAAUGAAGUUAACUGUAUGCCCAGGGACUUUCUAGACCUUCUCUUUCCUUCCACCAAUUAUUUGAUCAUCUCAGAAUCCACCUCCUGAAACUUUUUGUAUACAAAUACUGCUUUGAAGCCAGCAUGGGGAGAAAAACUUGAGUUUGACAUGCCUGUCUUCUUGUGAGUCAACUUGCAAAAUAAAGCUUCCCUUUCCUCAAAAACCUGAUGUCAUAGUAUUGUCUUCUAGCACAUGGGGCAGUGAGCCCCGUUGGCUUGAUAACACUUCUAUCACCUAGAAUGGAAACACAGGUAGUUCGAGGGGCAUAGAGUAGAGAAAACAGAGAAUCAUUGACUAAGUAAUGGUACCAAAAGUAUUUUCAGACUGAGGACUGUUGUGGCCCACGUAGU
RNAcentral lists this long non-coding RNA (2377 nucleotides) under Homo sapiens (human). RNAcentral describes it as "HSALNT0323404". Lineage: Eukaryota; Metazoa; Chordata; Mammalia; Primates; Hominidae. The record is from RNAcentral.